Molecule: long non-coding RNA, 591 nt
Filed under: Ananas comosus (pineapple)
Lineage: Eukaryota; Viridiplantae; Streptophyta; Magnoliopsida; Poales; Bromeliaceae
Description: long non-coding RNA (ACOM_LNC017728)
Source: RNAcentral
GAGCAUCGUGAUUCACGUCGUGAGUUAUUUCCACUUUCUUCGAAGUCUUGGAUUCGUCGAUCUUCUUCAAUACGCACCGAUCCUUCAAGACUCCGACACUCUUCACGAAACUUGCCAAUACAAAAUCCGUAACAAUCUCCCCCUUUGGCAAUUUCGUGACAAAACUCAAAAACUCACAAAAUUACAAAAAUUACAUCUUAAAAAAAAACAAAGUUCAAUUGUCAUCACCAAAAUAUUGAACUCCUCGCGUGUAAUCCAAAUACAAUUUAAAAACCAAAUUACAUCAAAACUCCUAAAACAAACUCUAUGACUUAGACACAAUUAGGAGUCUUGAAGUUUUGAUUUCCUGCAAAAACUAUUAUCCAAAGAAUACAUGUAAAGUUAAUCAAUAAACACUUAUACCUAUACCUUCUCCCCCUUUCUCCGCUCUUGUGCUUAUUUAUCUAUGUUCUCCCCCUUUCUUUUUAAAUUCUCCUUUUCCUUCUUUUUCCUUCUUUUUCUUUUUCCUUCUUUUUCUCCCCCUCAAUUGAUCAAUACCUGUCCACCUAUGCUCUCCCCCUUUUUGUCAAAAAUUGCCAAAGCAAAGCAUAU